Molecule: ribosomal RNA, 445 nt
Filed under: bacterium
Lineage: Bacteria
Description: bacterial SSU rRNA
Rfam family: Bacterial small subunit ribosomal RNA
Source: RNAcentral
UACCAUGCAGUCGAGCGCCCCGCAAGGGGAGCGGCAGACGGGUGAGUAACGCGUGGGAAUCUACCCUUUUCUACGGAAUAACGCAGGGAAACUUGUGCUAAUACCGUAUGAGCCCUUCGGGGGAAAGAUUUAUCGGGAAAGGAUGAGCCCGCGUUGGAUUAGCUAGUUGGUGGGGUAAAGGCCUACCAAGGCGACGAUCCAUAGCUGGUCUGAGAGGAUGAUCAGCCACAUUGGGACUGAGACACGGCCCAAACUCCUACGGGAGGCAGCAGUGGGGAAUAUUGGACAAUGGGCGCAAGCCUGAUCCACCCAUGCCGCGUGAGUGAUGAAGGCCCUAGGGUUGUAAAUCUCUUUCACCGGUGAAGAUAAUGACGGUCACCGGAGAAGAAGCCCCGGCUAAUUUCGUGCCAGCAGCCGCGAAAAUACGAGGGGGGCCAGCGUUGUU